UUUCCCUUAAAAUUUUGAUAAAUGAAGCUGUCAGAGGGGAUAAGAUCACGAUUUUCAAUUUUGUUUACUUUUUUUUUUUAACUGUUUUAACUUUCAAAAUCCAGUUCACGAAGGCUGCAAAUGUGAGCUCUGAUAAGAUCGCAGUGCUGCCUGCCAUGAGGGAACAAUCCGUUUUUCAUGUGUAACUGGUAAUGGAAGAGAGAGACA
Molecule: long non-coding RNA, 207 nt
Filed under: Homo sapiens (human)
Lineage: Eukaryota; Metazoa; Chordata; Mammalia; Primates; Hominidae
Description: HSALNT0253143
Source: RNAcentral